AGCGGCCGCUGCCCUGACCCGACGGGUAUCGGCCGGCUCUCCCCCUCCACCCAGGACGACAUGAACGACCGAGGCCAAGGAGUCCUCUCCUUGGGCCUCUGCAUCCCCCCAUCCUUGGCUCUGGGGUAGGCCCAGGGAGGAGACACCCCCAACCCCUAUCCGGUCUGUCCUGGAGAAAAGAGACUGCCCUUCCAUGCCCCUGAGUGAGGGGCCUGGGGCCCAGGCUGCCUGUGUUCCCCAAGGGCAAGGGUCUCUCUGUUGAGGAGGAGGGGCCUGUCAGCCACAACUUCUUUCCUCCUGAGCGCCCCAUCUCCCUCUCUGCACCCUGCAGUUCCCACCCCUCCGUAUUUAUUUCCCUGGUCCCGCCGACAGUCCCUCCUUGUCUGUCUCCGGGAUUCAGGCCUCCCUCCCUGACAUGGAGAGUAACCUGUCUGGCCUGGUGCCUGCUGCCGGGCUGGUGCCUGCGCUGCCACCUGCUGUGACCCUGGGGCUGACGGCUGCCUACACCACCCUGUAUGCCCUGCUCUUCUUCUCCGUCUAUGCCCAGCUCUGGCUGGUGCUUCUGUAUGGGCACAAGCGUCUCAGCUAUCAGACGGUGUUCCUGGCCCUCUGUCUGCUCUGGGCCGCCUUGCGUACCACCCUCUUCUCCUUCUACUUCCGAGAUACUCCCCGCGCCAACCGCCUGGGGCCCUUGCCCUUCUGGCUUCUCUACUGCUGCCCCGUCUGCCUGCAGUUCUUCACCUUGACGCUUAUGAACCUCUACUUUGCCCAGGUGGUGUUCAAGGCCAAGGUGAAGCGUCGGCCGGAGAUGAGCCGAGGCUUGCUCGCUGUCCGAGGGGCCUUUGUGGGGGCCUCGCUGCUCUUUCUGCUGGUGAACGUGCUGUGUGCUGUGCUCUCCCAUCGGCGCCGGGCACAGCCCUGGGCCCUGCUGCUUGUCCGCGUCCUGGUGAGCGACUCCCUGUUCGUCAUCUGCGCGCUGUCUCUUGCUGCCUGCCUCUGCCUCGUCGCCAGGCGGGCGCCCUCCACUAGCAUCUACCUGGAGGCCAAGGUAGGGCCGCAGCACUGAUGCCCAGGUGUCUUUUGGGUCUCUCGGCAGCGGUUCUCAGGGUGUAGAG
Molecule: small RNA, 1115 nt
Filed under: Pan troglodytes (chimpanzee)
Lineage: Eukaryota; Metazoa; Chordata; Mammalia; Primates; Hominidae
Description: retained intron
Source: RNAcentral